AGUGAACGCUGGCGGUAGGCCUAACACAUGCAAGUCGAACGGCAGCACAGUAAGAGCUUGCUCUUACGGGUGGCGAGUGGCGGACGGGUGAGGAAUACAUCGGAAUCUACUUUUUCGUGGGGGAUAACGUAGGGGAACUUACGCUAAUACCGCAUACGACCUACGGGUGAAAGCAGGGGAUCUUCGGACCUUGCGCGAUUGAAUGAGCCGAUGUCGGAUUAGCUAGUUGGCGGGGUAAAGGCCCACCAAGGCGACGAUCCGUAGCUGGUCUGAGAGGAUGAUCAGCCACACUGGAACUGAGACACGGUCCAGACUCCUACGGGAGGCAGCAGUGGGGAAUAUUGGACAAUGGGCGCAAGCCUGAUCCAGCCAUACCGCGUGUGUGAAGAAGGCCUUCGGGUUGUAAAGCCCUUUUGUUGGGAAAGAAAAGCAGCAGGUUAAUACCCCGCUGUUCUGACGUUACCCAAAGAAUAAGCACCGGCUAACUUCGUG
Molecule: ribosomal RNA, 492 nt
Filed under: uncultured bacterium
Lineage: Bacteria
Description: partial 16S ribosomal RNA
Rfam family: Bacterial small subunit ribosomal RNA
Source: RNAcentral